CCUACGGGUGGCAGCAGUAGGGAAUCUUUCACAAUGGGCGCAAGCCUGAUGGAGCCACGCCGCGUGCAGGAUGAAGGCCUUCGGGUUGUAAACCGCUUUUAUAAGGGAGAAAUAUGAUGGUAACUAUUGAAUAAGGAUCGGCCAAAUACGUGCCAGCAGCCGCGGUCAUACGUAGGAUCCGAGCAUUAUCCGGAGUGACUGGGUGUAAAGAGUGGCGUAGGUGGAAUAAUAAGGAGCGAGUGAAAUCUGGUGGCUCAACCAUUCAGACUAUUAGCUAAACUGGUAAGCUCGAGACCGUUAGAGGUAACUGGAAUUUCUGGUGUAGGGGUGAAAUGCGUAGAUAUUAGAAGGAACACCGAUAGCGUAGGCAGGUUACUGGAACGGUUCUGACACUAAGGCACGAAAGCGUAGGGAGCAAACGGGAUUAGAUACCCCAGUAGUC
This 442-nucleotide ribosomal RNA is filed under the name uncultured bacterium. RNAcentral describes it as "partial 16S ribosomal RNA". It matches the Rfam family "Bacterial small subunit ribosomal RNA", at positions 338 to 795 of the family's 1533-position model. The record is from RNAcentral.